RNAcentral lists this ribosomal RNA (1618 nucleotides) under human oral metagenome. RNAcentral describes it as "bacterial LSU rRNA". It matches the Rfam family "Bacterial large subunit ribosomal RNA", at positions 497 to 1999 of the family's 2925-position model. The record is from RNAcentral.
AGUACCGUGAGGGAAUGGUGAAAAGUACCCCGGGAGGGGAGUGAAAUAGUACCUGAAACCGUGUGCUUACAAGCCGUUGGAGCCUUUUGGGGUGACAGCGUGCCUUUUGAAGAAUGAGCCUGCGAGUUAGUGUUAUGUCGCGAGGUUAACCCGUGUGGGGUAUCCGUAGCGAAAGCGAGUCUGAAUAGGGCGUUUGAGUGGCAUGACCUAGACCCGAAGCGGAGUGAUCUAUCCAUGGCCAGGUUGAAGCGACGGUAAGACGUCGUGGAGGACCGAACCCACUUCAGUUGAAAAUGGAGGGGAUGAGCUGUGGAUAGGGGUGAAAGGCCAAUCAAACUCUGUGAUAGCUGGUUCUCCCCGAAAUGCAUUUAGGUGCAGCGUUACGUGUUUCUUGCCGGAGGUAGAGCUACUGGAUGGCCGAUGGGCCUUCACGGGUUACUGACGUCAGCUAAACUCCGAAUGCCGGUAAGUGAGAGCGUAGCAGUGAGACAGUGGGGGAUAAGCUUCAUUGUCGAGAGGGAAACAGCCCAGACCACCAACUAAGGCCCCUAAGCGUGUGCUAAGUGGGAAAGGAUGUGGAGUUGCUUAGACAACCAGGAGGUUGGCUUAGAAGCAGCCAUCCUUGAAAGAGUGCGUAAUAGCUCACUGGUCAAGUGAUUCUGCGCCGAUAAUGUAGCGGGGCUCAAGUACACCGCCGAAGUUGUGGCAAUGAUCUUUUUGGAUUGUUGGGUAGGGGAGCGUCGUGUGGCCGUUGAAGCUGCGGUGUAAACCAGUGGUGGAGGCUAUGCGAGUGAGAAUGCAGGCAUGAGUAGCGAAAGAUGAGUGAGAAACUCAUCCGCCGGAUGAUCAAGGGUUCCAGGGUCAAGUUAAUCUGCCCUGGGUUAGUCGGGGCCUAAGGCGAGGCCGACAGGCGUAGUCGAUGGAUAACGGGUUGAUAUUCCCGUACCGGUGAAAAACCGCCCAUACUGAUAUUGUGAUGCUAACCAUGCGAAGCAUGAUGUGCAGGCUUUUGUUUGUGUGUUGUGUGGGUUGUGGGACCCGAUCUUUGGAGGUAAACGUGUUAACAGGUGUGACGCAGGAAGGUAGCCAAGCCACGCGAUGGUUGUCGUGGUCUAAGCGUGUAGGGUUGUCGGUUGUUAAAUGCGCCGGCUGUGUGCCUGAGACGUGAUGGGACCCCGUUUUUGGGGGAUUUGGUGAUCCUAUGCUGCCGAGAAAAGCAUCGGCGUGAGGUUUUAGCCGCCCGUACCCUAAACCGACACAGGUGAUCAGGUAGAGAAUACUAAGGCGAUCGAGAGAAUCAUGGUUAAGGAACUCGGCAAAAUGCCCCCGUAACUUCGGGAGAAGGGGGACCUUGAGCGUGAUGGGCACUUGCUGCCUGGAGCGUGUAUGGGUCGCAGAGACCAGGGGGAAGCGACUGUUUAUCAAAAACACAGGUCCGUGCGAAGUCGUAAGACGAUGUAUACGGACUGACUCCUGCCCGGUGCUGGAAGGUUAAGAGGAUUGGUUAGCCUUUUUUGGCGAAGCUGAGAAUUUAAGCCCCAGUAAACGGCGGUGGUAACUAUAACCAUCCUAAGGUAGCGAAAUUCCUUGUCGGGUAAGUUCCGACCUGCACGAAUGG